Molecule: long non-coding RNA, 3928 nt
Filed under: Marmota monax (woodchuck)
Lineage: Eukaryota; Metazoa; Chordata; Mammalia; Rodentia; Sciuridae
Source: RNAcentral
CACAGUAAUAUAUAUUGAUAUAAAUAUAACAUUAAUUGCACAUACAUGAAGUAUACAAUUUGACCAGUUUGACCUUUGAAACAACUAUCAGUAAAAAUCGUGAACUCUUAUCAUCCCAAAAAUUUCAUCAUAUUUCUUUGUAAUUCUCCCAUCUCUGCUUUCCUUUACUAUGCAUUAUUUUGAUUUGUCUAGAAAUUUAUAUAAAUGGGUGUGCAAAUUCAAGGGUAGAUCAUCUUUUUACAUGUGCAAGGCCCAGUGUUCAAUCCCCAGCACCCCCCAAUAUUCCAUCUUUGUGAGCCUCUCUUCUUUCCUAUUUUAUAGUUAAAUCUCUUGGAAGUUCGUGUUGGGACCUCCAUGUUUUUCUGUUCCCUUCAUUACUUUUUGCAGUCUUUGACCCUAACCCUACCACUCACUGAAUUUAACUUUUACUUAGGUCAAUUAUAACUUUUUUCAUGAUGUCUCUCUUUUUUUUUUUUAAGUGUUUUUUAGUUGUAGAUGGGCACAAUACCUUUAUUUAUUUUAUGUAGUGCUGAGGUUUGAACUCAGUGCCUCAUACAUGCAAGACAAGCGCUCUACCACUGAGCCACAACCUCAGUCCCCAUGAUGUCUCUCUUGUAUUCCCACAUUGUACCCCAUGACUUCCUGUCCAAUCACCUUAAAAUUAUAACUUCUUCAGCACUUCCUAUUCCUUUUAAAAUAGCAUAGUUUUUUUUAGUUAUUUAUUUUGCUUAUGUGUAUUUUCCCUGGUUAGAAAAUAAAAUCAGGGAGGAUAGGGAUUUUGUCUGCUUGUUCACUGCUGUAUUCUAAGUAUCUGGAAUAAUGACCAGUACAUUACAGGCACUCAUUAAGUAACUGUUCGAUGGAUGAAGUAUGAUUAUCUAUUUUCCUGUGUUCUAUAUUAGGCCAGAAACUCCUUUGAAGAUAAAAACUAUUGUUAUGUCUUUAUUACCCCGUUGGCUCAGUCUGGCCUGUAGGUGAACACGAGUGUGAAAUGUACAUGAGAAGUUGCUAUGAUACCAGUAAUUUUUGUAAAUGCUUCUAGAUGACAUUUAAAGACCUUUAACAGUGGUUUUUAAGUUCUAUGCAAUUCUAGAUCUCUAUAGAGCCUGAAAGUAGGAUUUUGCAGGCAAUAAAUAUUUAAAACUGGGGGUAGCUCAGUGGGAGAGUGUUUGCCUAGCACAUGCAAAGACCGGGUUUCAUCUCCAGCACUGAACCAAAAACCAAAAUGAGCAAACAAACAAACAAAAACACAGAAACAGCUUUUAGCUGGAUGUGAUAACAUGUAUUGUAAUCCCAGCUACUUAGGAGUCUGAGAUAGGAGGAUCAUAAAUUUGAAUCAACCUGGGCAAUUUACUGAGACCCUCUCUAAAAAUAAAAUUUAGAGUGGUGGGAAGGUAUGGUAGGGCACUUGCUAUCCUGUAUGAGAACCUAGGUUUGAACUCCAGUACCCGUACCAGAAGGAAAAAAAAAAAACGAUUUAAGUUGCCUUAAAGAAAUUGUUCAUGCCUUUAAAUUGUAUUAUUUAUUGGGAUUCCUUCACUAGAGCACUACUGCUAAAAUAAGUUUGAAGUGAUAGCACAAACCAGAGACAGGGAAGAAAAGAAGUACAAAGAUAGGGCCCAAGAUAUAGUCUUAAUCUUGAGACAUUAGGGGAGUUUCUAUGCUGAUACUUGUACCCCAUUCCCAAUAAUAUUGGUAGGGCUAGGAACUGAGCAUAGAUAUAUUUUUUAAUUCUUCAAAUGAUUCUACUAUGUAACCAAGGAUUGAGAACCACAGGAAUAAUUAAUCCUAGAGGAAUGGGGCAAGUUACAGGGAAGACAAAAGCAAAUCUGGUGAGAAGCAGAAUGUCCCCCAACAAUUGCUUAAAGUCAGAGUGGGUCAGAGACAGACACUGUUAUUGGGUUUUUUUGUAGCCAUGACUAGUAAUUGGGCUCAAACACUUGAGGGGACAUAAGAGCAAGACCACAUACUUAAUGGUUAGUUUAUGGGACACUAAUAACAACUGACAAAUAAAAAGAACACUUCUUCCUUGAAGCUUUCUAAAAGGUUAAUUAUCAACCAGUUCUUUCAACCCUUAAAUUACUUUCUGAGAGUGAAUUAGAAAGAGGGCAUGGAUUCUAUUAGAAGAUUGUGGUACCACUGUAGAUUAAUUCUUCUUAUUAAAUUGUACCCUGUUGUUCAUUUUUCACCACAAAGAAGCUAACUUAAUCCUUGUUCUGAGCUUGCAUAUGGAGCAAUUCUGGAUAAUUGCUUAUAGAAUGAUAACCUUUAGAACAGGCACAAUCCAACAGAGAAAAAUUCAUCCUUGGAAUGUAAUUUCAAAUUCAUAAAGUGAAACUUAGUAUCAUGAAAAGAGAGUAUAUGAGUUUCAUGAUGUCAUAUUACUAUUCCUAAGGGAAAUUUCCAAUAUUCUGUGAUUCAAUAUAGACUCAGGAUAAAUAUGUGACUUCUAGCUUUUCCGGAGGCAUGCUAACAAACUUUGACCUGUUUGAAGAUAAGAAUGGUUUAUCAAAGGUUAUUUAAUUUCAGUCACAAGUACCUUGUUUGUUAGUAUUCUCUUUAUGAAGAAUACAUUCCAAUUAUAAAACUCUCCAUGUAAAGAAGGACAUAUUAUAAUCCAAUUCUUUUUUUAAAAAAAGGAAUUUGUUGUUGUUGUUGUUGUAGUUGGACUACCCUAUUUAUUCAUUUCUGUGUGGUGCUGAGGAUCCAACACAGCACCUCGCACAUGCUAGGCAAAUGCUCUACCUCUGAGUCACAACCCCAGCUCCUAAUUCAGUUCUUUGUAAAGAGAAAAACUCUUUUCACCAGACAUAUUGGAAGUAUUUUUUUCCCUCAAAUUAAUUUACUGUAAGUAAAUUUGAUGAAAUGGUUUAUUCCAAGAAUUAUGUUUUUUAAAAAGCAUUUUUUAAUUGUAGGUGGACACAAUAACUUUAUUUAUUUUUAAAUUUGUUUUUGUAGUUGUAGACGGACAGAAUGCCUUUAUUUUAUUUGUUUAUUUUUAUGUGUUGCUGAGGAUCGAACCCAGUCCCUUACAUGUAUUAGGAAAGCCCUCUUCCACUGAGCUACAACUCCAGACCUCCAAGAAUUACUUUUUAAAUUCUUUUUUUUAAUAUUUACUUUUUAGUUAUAGUUGGACACAAUACCUUUAUUUUAUUUAUUUUUAUAUGGUGCUGAGGAAUCAAACCCAGGACCUCUCACAUGCUAGGCAAGCGCUCUACUACUGAGCCACAACCCCUGCCCCUUUUUAAAAUUCUAAAACAAAAGAAUUAAAUAAAAGUGGACUUUGACAGAAAUGGAUGCUGCCUUGUUUCUUCUGCAAGUGUGUAGACUUUUCAUUUUGUAGUGAUUUGUGUUCCCUGAUAUGCUUUAUCUCAUGCUUGACUGAUUGCAAGUGUGCAGGGGGGUUAAAUGUGUUUGCUAUUGGCAAUUUAGCAUUAAUUGUAAUACGAUGUAAUCCAAAUUACAAUCUGUCAUUUCUAGUCAAAUUGUGAAGCACUGUAAUUGUAUUUUAGAGUUCCACUGCCAUUGAUUAUAGCUACCUCAUUUGUGUUUUAAUAUACCAUGACGAAUUUGUGAAUGGAAAUACAAUCUUGUAACAAGCCAAGAAACAAGUAUUGUUUUUCUAUUAUAACAGCAAGAAAAUUAUUUCUUAACAAAUGAAAAGAGGAGAUGGUAAGACAGUAAAGAGAUUCAUUUAAGGAUGAAAAAAGACUUCAAUUUUCCAGCAGUGCAUAAAAAUAAAUGAAUCAUAGAUAUUUAGAGGACAUGCUUUUUAAAAUUUUUUUUUUAUCAAUUGUUGAUGGAUUUUUAUUUUAUUUGUUUAUUUAUAUGCAGUGCUGAGAAUCGAACCUGGGGCCUCACACAUGCUAGGCAAGCGCUCUACCACUGAGCCACAAUCCCAGCCCUACAGAACAUUUUUAAAUGAGAC